GGGCACGACACCGGAGAGGGAGCCUGAGAAACGGCUACCANANNNAAGGAUGGCAGCAGGCGCGCAAAUUACCCAAUCCCGACACGGGGAGGUAGUGACAAUAAAUAACAAUACGGGGUUCUUUAGGAUCUCGUAAUUGGAAUGAGUACAAUUUAAAUCUCUUAACGAGGAACAAUUGGAGGGCAAGUCUGGUGCCAGCAGCCGCGGUAAUUCCAGCUCCAGUAGCGUAUAUUAAAGUUGUUGCAGUUAAAAAGCUCGUAGUUGAAUUUCGGGGUUAGUAGGUUGGUNAUGCCUCUGGUGUGUACUGGUNUNANUGAUUCCUCCUUCCUGAUGAACCGUAAUGCCAUUAAUUUGGUGUUGCGGGGAAUUUGGACUGUUACUUUGAA
Molecule: ribosomal RNA, 386 nt
Filed under: uncultured Glomeromycotina
Lineage: Eukaryota; Fungi; Glomeromycota
Description: partial small subunit ribosomal RNA
Rfam family: Eukaryotic small subunit ribosomal RNA
Source: RNAcentral